UACGUAGGGAGCAAGCGUUUGUUCGGAUUUACUGGGCGUACAGCGCGCGCAGGCGGUCCACUACGUGCCGUGUGACAGACGUCGGCUUAACCGACGUAGGCCAGGGUACACGGGUGAACUUGAGGCAGAGAGAGGGAUGUGGAAUACCCGGUGGAGCGGUGAAAUGCGUAGAGAUGUGGAGGAACACCAGUGGCGAAGGCGGCUUUCUGGUCUGUAACUGACGCUGGAGGCGCGAAAGCGUGGGGAGCAAACAGG
RNAcentral lists this ribosomal RNA (255 nucleotides) under uncultured bacterium. Its description in RNAcentral is "partial 16S ribosomal RNA". It matches the Rfam family "Bacterial small subunit ribosomal RNA", at positions 524 to 776 of the family's 1533-position model. The record is from RNAcentral.